Mauremys reevesii (Reeves's turtle) is the source of this 220-nucleotide long non-coding RNA. RefSeq lists it as uncharacterized. The record is from RefSeq and is a predicted model, not a curated record. The transcript is spliced from 3 exons. Lineage: Eukaryota; Metazoa; Chordata; Testudines; Geoemydidae.
GAGCAAGAGACUGAACUUUCACAGGAGCUGGCCUUAAAUUAUUGAACUCACUCUCUCUCAGAAAGGUCAGGAGCUGGCUUCAUCUGUCAUGCUUAAUCAGCUGAUGAAAACUCUACUGACGCCUGAGGAUGCUGCAGAGUGAAGAAAGAAGAUGGGAGUAUAUUUAAAUUGCCAAAAAUCCUGUUUCUCCCCUUCCCCCACCCGCUUUUAAAUUCUAAAU